Molecule: ribosomal RNA, 460 nt
Filed under: uncultured bacterium
Lineage: Bacteria
Description: partial 16S ribosomal RNA
Rfam family: Bacterial small subunit ribosomal RNA
Source: RNAcentral
CCUACGGGAGGCAGCAGUGAGGAAUCUUGGUCAAUGGGCGCUAGCCUGAACCAGCCAAGUAGCGUGAAGGAUGACUGCCCUAUGGGUUGUAAACUUCUUUUAUAUGGGAAUAAAGUGCAGUAUGUAUACUGCUUUGCAUGUACCUUAUGAAUACGGAUCGGCUAACUCCGUGCCAGCAGCCGCGGUAAUCCGGAGGAUCCGAGCGUUAUCCGGAUUUAUUGGGUUUAAAGGGAGCGUAGGCGGGUUGUUAAGUCAGUUGUGAAAGUUUGCGGCUCAACCGUAAAAUUGCAGUUGAUACUGGCAUCCUUGAGUACAGGAGAGGUAGGCGGAAUUCGCGGUGUAGCGGUGAAAUGCUUAGAUAUCACGAAGAACUCCGAUUGCGAAGGCAGCCUGCUGGACUGUAACUGACGCUGAUGCUCGAAAGUGAGGGUAGCAAACAGGAUUAGAUACCCGAGUAGUC